CGACCGAGGCUACGCAACGGCGGUGACCGGCAGCGGGGAAAGGCAACGGCGGCGGGGCAAAUCAAGACGGCGCCGACGAGAUCCUCCUCCGGCGACUGGUCCCCGAUACCUGCACCUUGGCCUAUUCUUGGAUUGGAUCAACCACCUCCAUCUUGGGAACUUGUGAGAACGCCUGUUUUUGUGCUGCAAUGAAUACACAAAGACUAGAGCUUAUUAGGAAGAGGAGAGAGGAAGACGACGAGGAUUUUAUGUUCUUACUUUUACCAAUAUUGCACUAUCACAAAAGGAGUAGAAAAG
Lolium rigidum is the source of this 297-nucleotide long non-coding RNA. RefSeq lists it as uncharacterized. The transcript is spliced from 3 exons. Lineage: Eukaryota; Viridiplantae; Streptophyta; Magnoliopsida; Poales; Poaceae. The record is from RefSeq and is a predicted model, not a curated record.